UCACAAAGGUGAAUUCACUUGCUCAAGAUCCAACACACACAAAAUGGAGGUGGUUCAAACCCAGGUGUGUCUGACUGCAGAGCCUGUGUUCUUCCCAGUAGAGAUGUGGAUGCAGCACAAAUGGUAGAAAGGACCUGAGACUUAGUCAGAAGACCUCAGUUCACCCAAGGUAUCUGCUAUGCCCAAGGCCUCUGCUCAGUGCUGAGGAAACAAGCAUGGACAAGAUGUGGCCUCCACCCUGAGGAGCUCCUAAAUCUAGGACAGAGUAAAUCUGUUAGAAAUGUCUUCUCUGCACAUAAUUUAAGCUCUACCAACUGUUAACUUCUUUUCAUUUAUCCAAGUUUUGCCAGGUACCACACCAAUAAAAAAAGACU
RNAcentral lists this long non-coding RNA (374 nucleotides) under Homo sapiens (human). RNAcentral's name for it is "BCL2L1 antisense RNA 1 (BCL2L1-AS1)". The record is from RNAcentral. Lineage: Eukaryota; Metazoa; Chordata; Mammalia; Primates; Hominidae.